This 253-nucleotide ribosomal RNA is filed under the name uncultured bacterium. Its description in RNAcentral is "partial 16S ribosomal RNA". It matches the Rfam family "Bacterial small subunit ribosomal RNA", at positions 524 to 776 of the family's 1533-position model. The record is from RNAcentral.
UACGUAGGGUGCAAGCGUUAAUCGGAUUCACUGGGCGUAAAGGGUGCGCAGGCGGCCGUGUGUGUGAGGCGUGAAAGCCUGGAGCUUAACUCCAGAAUUGCACCUCAAACUACAUGGCUAGAGCAUUGGAGAGGGUAGCGGAAUUCACGGCGUAGCAGUGAAAUGCGUAGAUAUCUGAAGGAACAUCAGUGGCGAAAGCGACUUCCUGGACCAAUACUGACGCUCAUGUGCGAAAGCGUGGGGAGCAAACAGG